AGCCCUUUGGGACUUCCAAUGGGAUCUUAGAAGCAGCAGAAGCAUCGUGAGGGCGGCAGCCCAGGGCCAGCCACGAUUUGAACGCUCUGCCUUGCAGCUCUUCUGGACCGAGGAUCCCAAAGCCCUACCCUCACCAUUCACCAGGUUACGGUUCUUAUCUGAGUGAAUACACAUGGCUCUGUUACGAAAAAGUAAGAUUACAACUUUUGAAAAUAAUGAUUUAAAAACAGAUAUUUGGGGAGGAUGGUUUUGAGGCUCGGGCUUGGCUUUUUUCUUCUUUCUUGGAUUA
This 289-nucleotide long non-coding RNA is filed under the name Macaca fascicularis (crab-eating macaque). RNAcentral describes it as "lncRNA (ENSMFAG00000065188.1)". The record is from RNAcentral. Lineage: Eukaryota; Metazoa; Chordata; Mammalia; Primates; Cercopithecidae.